CGCCUCUUGAUUUAAUAUAAGAGGUCCAGCCUGCCCAGUGACAAAGUUUAACGCCCGCGGUACCCUAACCGUCCGAAGGUAGCAUAAUCACUUGUCCUUUAAAUYGGGACUCGUAUCAACGGCAUCACGAGGGCUAUACUGUCUCCUUUCUCCAAUCAGUGAAACUGAUCUUCCCGUGAAGACGGGGAAUUAUUGUAUAAGAAGAAGAAGACCCUAUGAANCUUUAAAUAAUAUAUACUUAAGAUUUAUAUCAUAUAGCCUAAGAAAUUAUAUAUUAGUUUGGGUUGGGGAACCGNGGAAAAAAUUAACCUCCACGACAAAUAGCNAAAGSCUUUAUCUAUGAACCACAAUUCUAAGAAUCAAUAAACUGAUGUUUAAUGAUCCAAUUUUUUGAUCAACGAACCAAGUUACCCUGGGGAUAACAGCGCAAUCUACUUCAAGAGCUCCUAUCGACAAGUGGGUUUACGACCUCGAUGUUGGAUCAGGGUAUCCUAGUGGUGCAGCCGCUACUAAAGGUUCGUUUGUUCAACGAUUAAAACC
RNAcentral lists this ribosomal RNA (540 nucleotides) under Aubria subsigillata (brown ball frog). Its description in RNAcentral is "16S ribosomal protein". It matches the Rfam family "Bacterial large subunit ribosomal RNA", at positions 1832 to 2595 of the family's 2925-position model. The record is from RNAcentral. Lineage: Eukaryota; Metazoa; Chordata; Amphibia; Anura; Pyxicephalidae.